RNAcentral lists this non-coding RNA (138 nucleotides) under Aquabacterium sp. NJ1. RNAcentral describes it as "Glycine riboswitch aptamer". It matches the Rfam family "Glycine riboswitch aptamer". Rfam says of the family: This family represents the bacterial glycine riboswitch. Glycine riboswitches usually consist of two metabolite-binding aptamers domains with similar structures in tandem. The aptamers cooperatively bind glycine to regulate the expression of downstream genes. Lineage: Bacteria; Pseudomonadati; Pseudomonadota; Betaproteobacteria; Burkholderiales; Sphaerotilaceae. The record is from Rfam by way of RNAcentral. RNAcentral also lists the same sequence under 1 other name.
AUGAUCCUCACUGGAGAGAGCCUGGUGACCUUGCUGCAAGCGAGGUGAGCCCGGCCACCGAAGGGGCAAGCCCACAACGCCGCGAUCAGGUCGCAGCGAGGGGUCAAUCUCUCAGGUAAAGCGGACAGAGAGGGCAGC